RNAcentral lists this ribosomal RNA (490 nucleotides) under uncultured bacterium. Its description in RNAcentral is "partial 16S ribosomal RNA". It matches the Rfam family "Bacterial small subunit ribosomal RNA", at positions 28 to 507 of the family's 1533-position model. The record is from RNAcentral.
GAUGAACGCUAGCUACAGGCUUAACACAUGCAAGUCGCGGGGCAGCAUGGGGGUUGCUUGCAACUCCCGAUGGCGACCGGCGCACGGGUGAGUAACGCGUAUCCAACCUGCCCUUCACCACGGGAUAACCCGGCGAAAGUCGGACUAAUACCGUAUGUUGUCCAUUGACGGCAUCCGAUUUGGACGAAAGGCUUUGCGGUGAAGGAUGGGGAUGCGUCCGAUUAGCCAGACGGCGGGGUAACGGCCCACCGUGGCUACGAUCGGUAGGGGUUCUGAGAGGAAGGUCCCCCACACGGGAACUGAGACACGGUCCAGACUCCUACGGGAGGCAGCAGUGAGGAAUAUUGGUCAAUGGGCGUAAGCCUGAACCAGCCAAGUAGCGUGCAGGAUGACGGCCCUAUGGGUUGUAAACUGCUUUUAUGCGGGGAUAAAGUGGCCCACGUGUGGGCUUUUGCAGGUACCGCAUGAAUAAGGACCGGCUAAUUCCGUG